This 255-nucleotide ribosomal RNA is filed under the name uncultured bacterium. RNAcentral describes it as "partial 16S ribosomal RNA". It matches the Rfam family "Bacterial small subunit ribosomal RNA", at positions 524 to 776 of the family's 1533-position model. The record is from RNAcentral.
UACAGAGGGGGCAAGCGUUAUUCGGAAUUAUUGGGCGUAAAGGGCGCGUAGGCGGCCUGGCAAGUGGAAGGUGAAAUCCCUCGGCUUAACCGAGGAACUGCCCUCCAAACUGCUUUGGCUUGAGUCCGGGAGAGGUGAGUGGAAUUCCCAGUGUAGCGGUGAAAUGCGUAGAUAUUGGGAGGAACACCAGUGGCGAAGGCGGCUGACUGGUCCGGAUCUGACGCUGAGGCGCGAAAAGCGUGGGGAGCAAACAGG